CCUGCCCACUGAAAAAUUUUAAAUGGCCGCAGUAAUUUGACUGUGCAAAGGUAGCAUAAUCAUUAGUUUUUUAAUUAAAAGCUUGUAUGAAGGGUUGGACGAGAUAAAAUCUGUCUUUAUUUAAAUAAUAUAUAAUUUAAUUUUUAAGUUAAAAAGCUUAAAUUUUUAUAAAAGACGAGAAGACCCUAUAGAUCUUUAUAUUAUUAUAUUAUAAUUUUAUUUAAGAAUUAUGAUUUUUUUUAUUAUAUAUAAUAUUUUAUUGGGGUAAUAAAAAGAUUAAAAAAAUUCUUUUUGAUAUUUAACAUUAAUUUAUGAAUUUAUGAUCCAAUUAUUUUGAUUAUAAGAUUAAGUUACCUUAGGGAUAACAGCGUAAUUUUUUUAGAGAGUUCAUAUCGAUAAAAAAGUUUGCGACCUCGAUGUUGGAUUAAAAAUUGUUUUAGGCGCAGAAGUUUAAAAAUUUGGUCUGUUCGACCAUUAAAUUUUUACAUGAUCUGAGUUCAGACCGGCGUAAGCCAGGUCGGUUUCUAUCUUUAUUUAUUUAGAAUAUUUUAGUACGAAAGGACCAAAUAUUUAAUAUACUAAUAUUUUAAAUUUUGAAUAUUAUUAAU
This 608-nucleotide ribosomal RNA is filed under the name Exocelina atra. Its description in RNAcentral is "partial 16S ribosomal RNA". It matches the Rfam family "Bacterial large subunit ribosomal RNA", at positions 1858 to 2760 of the family's 2925-position model. The record is from RNAcentral. Lineage: Eukaryota; Metazoa; Arthropoda; Insecta; Coleoptera; Dytiscidae.